This 184-nucleotide non-coding RNA is filed under the name Citrobacter freundii. RNAcentral describes it as "6S RNA". It matches the Rfam family "6S / SsrS RNA". From Rfam's summary of the family: E. coli 6S RNA was the first non coding RNA to be sequenced, but its function was unknown until recently. The record is from RNAcentral. Lineage: Bacteria; Pseudomonadati; Pseudomonadota; Gammaproteobacteria; Enterobacterales; Enterobacteriaceae.
AUUUCUCUGAGAUGUUUGCAAGCGGGCCAGUCCCCUGAGCCGAUAUUUCAUACCACAAGAAUGUGGCGCUCCACGGUUGGUGAGCAUGCUCGGCCCAUCCGAGAAGCCUUAAAACUGUGACGACACAUUCACCUUGAACCAAGGGUUCAAGGGUUACAGCCUGCGGCGGCAUCUCGGAGAUUCC